This 1044-nucleotide long non-coding RNA is filed under the name Salmo salar (Atlantic salmon). RNAcentral's name for it is "lncRNA (ENSSSAG00000104529.1)". The record is from RNAcentral. Lineage: Eukaryota; Metazoa; Chordata; Actinopteri; Salmoniformes; Salmonidae.
CACACACACACACACACACACACACACACACACACACACACACACACACACACACACACACACACACACACACGUUUAAUUACAUUUCUGUCAUUUACAGCCAAUAAUAAUCAUGUGCAUACGCUAAGUGGUCUGAACAGUAACAUGCAACUGGGCUGAUUGCAUGCAUUUUCUAUCAGUCAAUCAAUCAAUCAAUCAAUGAAAUGUAUUUAUGAAGUCCUUUUUACAUCAGCCGAUGUCACAAAGUGCUAUACAGAAACCCACCCCAAAACCCCAAACAGCAAGCAAUGCAGAUGUAGAAGUUAUUGAGUAAAUAUGGUGAGAGCAAAGGAAGAGGGGGAAGGUGCCUGUUGAAGUACAGAUAGAGGGCCGUGGUGAUGUUGAAGUGCAGAUAGAGGGCCGCGGUGGUGUUGAAGUACAGAUAGAGGGCCGUGGUGAUGUUGAAGUGCAGAUAGAGGGCCGCGGUGAUGUUGAAGUGCAGGUAGAGGGCCAUGGUGGUGUUGAUGUGCAGAUAGAGGGCCGUGGUGGUGUUGAAGUGCAGAUAGAGGGCCCUGGUGGUGUUGAUGUGCAGAUAGAGGGCCGCGGUGGUGUUGAAGUGCAGAUAGAGGGCCGUGGUGGUGUUGAAGUGCAGAUAGAGGGCCGUGGUGGUGUUGAAGUGCAGAUAGAGGGCCGUGGUGGUGUUGAAGUGCAGAUAGAGGGCCCUGGUGGUGUUGAAGUGCAGAUAGAGGGCCCUGGUGGUGUUGAAGUGCAGAUAGAGGGCCCUGGUGGUGUUGAAGUGCAGAUAGAGGGCCGUGGUGGUGUUGAAGUGCAGAUAGAGGGCCGUGGUGGUGUUGAAGUGCAGAUAGAGGGCCGUGGUGGUGUUGAAGUGCAGAUAGAGGGCCGUGGUGACCAAGAUCAGCAGCACUACUACCAGUCUGAUAGUGAAAGCUGUCAUAGGAGAGGCUGCAACAGAAACACAUUUGAUAAGGAAGUGGAUUGAUUAUCAUGAGAUCCGUCUAGGGAAACUCUGACAAAGUAAAAAGUCUGGUUCGUUCUCAAUUACCU